GCUCUUUCAUCCACCCUGUCGGAUUUGCUCCACCUUUGCUGCCAGGUGGCCCAUUGUUGAUGAAGUGAUCACGAAAGUGCACCCGAGGAAAUAUAAAGUAGUGGGGGAUACUGUUCCCUGUGGCUGAGACUGCGCAGGCAAGGGUCACCAGGGUACCCCUUUCCCCAGAUGUCAGUGACCCCACCUGCUUGAACCCACGCCUGGCUACCAAUCGGUCUGGUUUCUGUACCGUUGUCACGCCAGUUUCAUCCAUGUUCCAGAUAUAUAUAUAUAGGCCUCCAUUUCCUCUCUGAGUGCAUCUGACCAGCCGCAGGAGCCCAUCAAGAGACGGAGGAUGCUGGGAGCAGGAGAACAACAGAGGCUGGCUACAGAGAGGAUCAAGACCAUCCUGAAAAACACCAUGACACAGGAUCGCCUCAAUGCUCUGGCUCUGCUAUCCAUGGAGAAGAAACGUGUCAAGGACAUUCAUGAAUUUAAUAAGAAAGUCAUUGAGAGGUUUGCCACACAGAAGGAGAGAAGAGCAAAAUACCUCUACAAAUAAACAAAUAAACAAAUCGUGCACGUUUUCUCACCAGUAUUGCUAAUGCCAUUGUUUUUAAGUUGUACAUAGUCCUCAGUCUCAAAUGCUUAAAUUGAUGAUGGAGGCAUUAAAA
This is a long non-coding RNA of Eleginops maclovinus (Patagonian blennie), 653 nucleotides long. RefSeq lists it as uncharacterized. NCBI's taxonomy places the organism in Eukaryota, Metazoa, Chordata, Actinopteri, Perciformes, Eleginopidae. The record is from RefSeq and is a predicted model, not a curated record. The transcript is spliced from 3 exons.